This 1103-nucleotide small RNA is filed under the name Rattus norvegicus (Norway rat). RNAcentral's name for it is "uncharacterized LOC102553232". Lineage: Eukaryota; Metazoa; Chordata; Mammalia; Rodentia; Muridae. The record is from RNAcentral.
ACUUGCUCAUUUUUUGGUCGUCCAAAGACAAUUUAAGGAGUUUAUAGUUCCACAAUAUGGGUUCAGGGAAUGGAAUUCAGGUCAUCAGGUUUGGAGACUAACGCGAAUGGGUGUGGGUGCACGCGUUCUGAGCCUCCUAUGUGGAAUUCGGAGGACAAUUUGGUGGAAUUGCUUUCUCCUUUAACCAGGUAUCACAAAAUGAGUCCCGAGGAUCGAACUCCUAAUAGGCUUGUGGGCAAUCACCAUUUCUGGGGCCCUGCUUGGCGUCCUAAGUACUCACAAGCCCCACCCAACUCCCAGGAUUUCGACGCUUGCACUAAGGCCACGCCCACUUCUAGCCCCGCUCUGGGUUUUUAAGCCCCGGACCGCGCGGCCUCUUGCUUCCGUUUCAUUGGGAGGACUGGACCGCGCCCACGUCCAGCGCCAGGAGGGUGGUCUUAAAGGUGUAUGUUCUUCCGGCUAUGGUGCAUUUUAUGGCUCUUGUUUACGCUUGCGUUUUUUGUGAAGAAAAGGCUGGGGAUGAACAGAAUGCGGCCGGGCAGGUGUCCCUGUUCCCUUCGAGCGGCAGCUGGCAGGUUUUCUCACAGAACCUCUCGUGCAUUGGAUGUGCUGAAUUAGUUACCACUGAUGACUUCCCGUCUCUACCUCCCCUUUGCUACAACGAUGGAUGAGCCACCACAUCUGGAUUUUUGCAUAGUUUAAGGAUUUGAACUUCGAUCUGUUAUGUGUUCAGCAAAUGAUUUCCCCACUAAACAACUCUCUGUCUCACCAACAUCAUUACAGCUUGACAACAACACUUCUCUCAAGAGGUCUGUCUUCCUAUUUCCCUUUGGGUUGUUUGUUUGUUUGUUUGUUUUCUUUUUUUUAAUUGGCCUUUCAAAAUGGACUACAUUUCCCAGAACUCUGAAGGCACCCAAUAUCACAUGAUCAUAAUCCAUCCAAUAAGGGGAGUGAUGUGUUCUUCCUCUUUUCCUCUUUCCUCCUUGGCCUAGUCUAAGACAGCGGAAUACUGGAUCUUGAGGAGGAAGGCCAUCUUUUAGAGACUUUAAAAGAAGACAGCAACAGUGAACUUACAUAUAAUAAAUAAAUAAAUAAGCUCUGAA